Molecule: long non-coding RNA, 534 nt
Organism: Perca fluviatilis (European perch)
Lineage: Eukaryota; Metazoa; Chordata; Actinopteri; Perciformes; Percidae
Exons: 3
Source: RefSeq, a predicted model, not a curated record
UUCAUCUGUUACAGCUUUAGUUACUUUAGUUACUCCGCCACAUUCAUCUGUUACAGCUUUAGUAACUAACAGUAUGGUUACAUUUCCCUACAUUUUAAGAUUAUUGUUUUAUUUAAGAGUCCAUGCAGGGUUUGUCUACAUGUUUUAUUUCCCUACAUUUGUGUUGGAGUUCAUAUUAAAUUAAUAAAGGCUCUCUUUGAAAUUUAAUUUUAAAAUCCUAUGAUAAUGUUGUGACAUGUUUCCCGUUUGUUUGUGCUGUGUUGCAGCUAUUUCAGGAAAUGGGCCGGCUUCAUGAUGAAAUGAAUAUCUGCCGAAGAUUCGAAGAUGGCUUUAAGGUCCUAGUACCCACAGUGCUUAGAUUGACUCAAAGGAAAUCUCCCCUUGCAGAUCUGGCUUUGGAGGAAAGAGAGGCUGCCCUCACCGAAGAUGUCCCUGGGAUUGAUUUCAGAGCUGCAAUCCUGCUGUUGCCGAUCCUGUUCAGGGAGAAAAAUGACAUUCUCGUCAUACUUGGGGAGGUGUGCAAUUUGCGUAUUU